GCCAGUGUGGUGUAGUGGUUUGAGUGCUGGACUAUGACUCUGGAGACUAGGGUUCAAUUCCCCACUUGGUCU
Molecule: transfer RNA, 72 nt
Filed under: Phrynosoma platyrhinos (Desert horned lizard)
Lineage: Eukaryota; Metazoa; Chordata; Lepidosauria; Squamata; Phrynosomatidae
Description: tRNA-OTHER
Source: RNAcentral